UAAAAUUCUUUGUGCUUUUCAAAUUUUUGCU
RNAcentral lists this non-coding RNA (31 nucleotides) under Mus musculus (house mouse). Lineage: Eukaryota; Metazoa; Chordata; Mammalia; Rodentia; Muridae. The record is from RNAcentral.